This 495-nucleotide ribosomal RNA is filed under the name uncultured bacterium. RNAcentral's name for it is "partial 16S ribosomal RNA". It matches the Rfam family "Bacterial small subunit ribosomal RNA", at positions 28 to 507 of the family's 1533-position model. The record is from RNAcentral.
GACGAACGCUGGCGGCGUGCCUAAUACAUGCAAGUAGAACGCUGAAGGAGGAGCUUGCUUCUCUGGAUGAGUUGCGAACGGGUGAGUAACGCGUAGGUAACCUGCCUGGUAGCGGGGGAUAACUAUUGGAAACGAUAGCUAAUACCGCAUAAGAGUAGAUGCUGCAUGACAUUUGCUUAAAAGGUGCAAUUGCAUCACUACCAGAUGGACCUGCGUUGUAUUAGCUAGUUGGUGAGGUAACGGCUCACCAAGGCAACGAUACAUAGCCGACCUGAGAGGGUGAUCGGCCACACUGGGACUGAGACACGGCCCAGACUCCUACGGGAGGCAGCAGUAGGGAAUCUUCGGCAAUGGACGGAAGUCUGACCGAGCAACGCCGCGUGAGUGAAGAAGGUUUUCGGAUCGUAAAGCUCUGUUGUAAGAGAAGAACGAGUGUGAGAGUGGAAAGUUCACACUGUGACGGUAGCUUACCAGAAAGGGACGGCUAACUACGUG